AGACGUCUGACGGAGCACGCCGCGUGUAUAGAAGAAGGUUUUCGGAUCGUAAAGUACUGUUGUUAGAGAAGAACAAGGAUAAGAGUAACUGCUUGUCCCUUGACGGUAUCUAACCAGAAAGCCACGGCUAACUACGUGCCAGCAGCCGCGGUAAAUAAA
This 159-nucleotide ribosomal RNA is filed under the name Listeria monocytogenes. RNAcentral's name for it is "partial 16S ribosomal RNA". It matches the Rfam family "Bacterial small subunit ribosomal RNA", at positions 373 to 529 of the family's 1533-position model. Lineage: Bacteria; Bacillati; Bacillota; Bacilli; Caryophanales; Listeriaceae. The record is from RNAcentral.